This 1029-nucleotide long non-coding RNA is filed under the name Anas platyrhynchos platyrhynchos (common mallard). RNAcentral describes it as "lncRNA (ENSAPLG00000023632.1)". Lineage: Eukaryota; Metazoa; Chordata; Aves; Anseriformes; Anatidae. The record is from RNAcentral.
AUGGCCACAGCUGCCUGCUCCCCGUGCUCCCGAGGCUGGUGUGCGUGCAGGAGGGGAGGCGCUGCCCUUUGCUGCUGGAGGCCUGGAGGAGAGCACAGUGAGAUGGGUAGGGGUUGGCUGGAGCUGGGGUGGCCACAGGCUUCGUGGCACCGAGAUGCUGUUGGAGCCACAUCCCUCCUGCCCCAGCUCCUGUCCUGGGGGACGUGGGGUCAGCUGUUGGUCCAGGACACGCGUGGGCUGUCCCUGUCAGAUCCACUGCUGGGAGCUUUCUGCCCUCAGCUGCUCUCCCAGCCAGGUCUCCCCCCACCCCAAAGAACUCACCUCUGCCCCCAUCUUCCCAUACACAAUCUCCCUUCCCCUCACCAGGUGUCCUCUUUUCCCUGGGGUGGAAGGAGAUGCCCUGAGCAGAUAAAUCCAUUCCCAGAGGCUCCUUUGCACUUCUGGCCUCUGUGGCAGGAGCACAGCAGUAGUGCUGCGGGGCAGUGCUGCCCGUGGUGGGAGCAGACGUGUCCUCCAGACACAGGAGCAAGGCUCUGUGCCACCGGGACCCGGUGGCUGCUCCCUCCAUGCAGCAGUUCCCCAAAGCUCCUGUCUGUGAAAGCAGAAGUGUUUCAGCCCCGGGAGUUUCCUGGCAGCAGGUUCCUGUUCAACCUCAUCCAAGGCCUCGUCCUGAGCAUUGGUGGAGCACACUGGGCAAAAAUCCUCCCGAAAUCCACGUUGCUUAUGGCCAAGGUGUCAGAUAGGUGUGCUUGUGCGUGUGGAUUCCCAGGUGUGCCAACCACCAGCCUCUUCCCCAAGGCUGGGCGAGAACACAGGCCUCAUUUUGGGACGCAGCAGAGGUCUCUGAAGCAGCACCCAGGCUCGGGGACGGGAAGAGAUGCCGGAGGAGCCGUCUGCACAGAGCUAAGUGUUGCUUCGUUUUCUUCCUGCUCCAAACAACACUCCCGGCUGUACAGACAGCGUGAGCACCAAAGUAAAAACGCAGACAGCAAAGCACAACGAGCAAGCUGCUCCCACGGGAUUGCAUAG